RNAcentral lists this ribosomal RNA (254 nucleotides) under uncultured bacterium. RNAcentral describes it as "partial 16S ribosomal RNA". It matches the Rfam family "Bacterial small subunit ribosomal RNA", at positions 524 to 776 of the family's 1533-position model. The record is from RNAcentral.
UACGGAGGGAGCUAGCGUUGUUCGGAAUUACUGGGCGUAAAGCGUGCGCAGGCGGUUUUGUAAGUCUGACGUGAAAUCCCCGGGCUUAACCUGGGAAUUGCGUUGGAGACUGCAAGGCUGGAGUCUGGCAGAGGGGGGUAGAAUUCCACGUGUGAGCAGUGAAAUGCGUAGAGAUGUGGAGGAACACCGAUGGCGAAGGCAGCCCCCUGGGCCAACACUGACGCUCAGGCACGAAAGCGUGGGGAGCAAACAGG